This 1596-nucleotide long non-coding RNA is filed under the name Homo sapiens (human). RNAcentral describes it as "HSALNT0303312". Lineage: Eukaryota; Metazoa; Chordata; Mammalia; Primates; Hominidae. The record is from RNAcentral.
UACUCAGAGGAGCUGGGAAGAAUUUCCACCCUUCCUAGUGGCAAGUCUCACUGUGAGAGCGGAGUGCCACCAGGCAAACAGGGCAGAAAGACUGCUUUAAGGAGAAUCCUUAUAUUGGGGGUUAUGAAGUGCAAUACACCCUCAUCCUCACGCUAACACUGGUACCAUGUAGCCCAAGCUUGUCUAACCUGCAGCCCGCGGGCUGUGUAUGGCCCAGGACAGCUCUGAAUGUGGCCCAACGCAAAUUUGUAAACUUUCUAAAACAUUAUGAGAUUUUUUUUUCUCAUCAGCUAUCAUCAGUGUGAGUGUAUGUUAUUUGUGACUCAAGACAAUCCUUCUUUUCCAAUGUGGCCCAGAGAAGCCAAAAGACUGGACACCCCUGAUGUGGCCCUUUCAUCCAUAGUAGCCUAUUUUGUCCUAAAGACGGUCUUGUGCAGUGAGUAGGCCAGGCCUCCCCACUACCACAGUUUACAGGCAAGGAAUGUGAUAUUUCAUAGGAUGACCCUGACUGGCACCUACAUUGCUAGCCAAAGAAUGGCACAAAGAUGUGGACAGAAGAGACAACCUUAAGCAGCUGACUGCUGGCUCCUGCAACAGUAUCAUCAUGGCAUUUGUCCUGGGGUCCCAAGGAAAGAAAACAAAUCUGUGGCUGAGGAACAGACUGAGUUGACAAAGCAGCUUCCACAGUAACACAAGGACAAAGGGUGUAUGUAGAUAUGCACGUGGUAGCAGGUUCUACUAAAGGAACCUGGACCGACCAUUCUAGUAUAUCGUGUAAAGAAAAGCCUUCCAAGGAGAAGCUUUGGGAAGCACUUCUGUAAUGAAUUACAUUGAGAUCUUCAGAGGACAGAAACUUAAUCUCGAGUUAGAGACAUGCUGUCAUUACCAAAACCACGUAUAGAGCAUCUCUCCUCAGUCAGACAAGAACCAAAGGCAACUGACGUGACUGCUCUCUCCUUGGAAGGACGGCAGGAGCCAUGGCGCUGUGAACUCAAACUUCAGGGAGCUUCAGACCCUCCUGCUUGUGACCAUACCCAUGCCUGGGCUCUUGACUAUUUAAAUGUGUUUUGAAAACAACUCUCAUUAUAGAAAUGAAAAGCCUGAAGCUUUCUCAGCAAAAAAGGUUUAACUGAUGAUACUCUACAAAGAAUAAAUACAUCAAUCUAAUUGAACCAACCAAACCAGUCAAUUGUUCUAAUAGAAUAAAUAGUAUCAAAUAGGUAGGAAGAAUAUGAGCCAUAUCUUAUGGCUUAUACUGGGUGGGGUGGCCCAGAGGUUAGGAGGUUUAACUGAUGAUACUCUACAAAAAAUAAAUAGAUAAAUCUAAUUGAACGGACCAAACCAGACAAUUUUUCUAAUAGAGUAAAUAGUAUCAAAUAGGAAGAAUAUGAACCAUUAUCUUCAAUGUGAAUGUGGACUAGUUAUUACUUUUAUGGUCAUUACUUAGACACAGGUUGUUUCCUUUGACACUCAAGCCACUGUGGUUGGAUGAUCCAAUACUAGAAUCAGGUAGACGUGGUUUUGAUGCUUGCUUCUGUCAGUUAUAUUUUCUCAGUUCUAAGUAGCCAUCAAUUUGUAAGAUGUUCCAUUUUAAAU